RNAcentral lists this ribosomal RNA (787 nucleotides) under uncultured bacterium. Its description in RNAcentral is "bacterial SSU rRNA". It matches the Rfam family "Bacterial small subunit ribosomal RNA", at positions 8 to 796 of the family's 1533-position model. The record is from RNAcentral.
AGAGUUUGAUCCUGGCUCAGGACGAACGCUGGCGGCGUGCUUAACACAUGCAAGUCGAACGGAAAGGCCCUUUCGGGGGUGCUCGAGUGGCGAACGGGUGAGUAACACGUGGGUGAUCUGCCCUGCACUUCGGGAUAAGCUUGGGAAACUGGGUCUAAUACCGGAUAGGACCACGGCCUGCAUGGGUUGUGGUGGAAAACGUUUUAGUGGUGUGGGAUGGGCCCGCGGCCUAUCAGCUUGUUGGUGGGGUGAUGGCCUACCAAGGCGACGACGGGUAGCCGGCCUGAGAGGGUGUCCGGCCACACUGGGACUGAGAUACGGCCCAGACUCCUACGGGAGGCAGCAGUGGGGAAUAUUGCACAAUGGGCGCAAGCCUGAUGCAGCGACGCCGCGUGGGGGAUGACGGCCUUCGGGUUGUAAACCUCUUUCACCAUCGACGAAGGUCCGGGUUUUCUCGGAUUGACGGUAGGUGGAGAAGAAGCACCGGCCAACUACGUGCCAGCAGCCGCGGUAAUACGUAGGGUGCGAGCGUUGUCCGGAAUUACUGGGCGUAAAGAGCUCGUAGGUGGUUUGUCGCGUUGUUCGUGAAAUCUCACGGCUUAACUGUGAGCGUGCGGGCGAUACGGGCAGACUGGAGUACUGCAGGGGAGACUGGAAUUCCUGGUGUAGCGGUGGAAUGCGCAGAUAUCAGGAGGAACACCGGUGGCGAAGGCGGGUCUCUGGGCAGUAACUGACGCUGAGGAGCGAAAGCGUGGGGAGCGAACAGGAUUAGAUACCCUCGUAGUCC